This 253-nucleotide ribosomal RNA is filed under the name uncultured bacterium. RNAcentral's name for it is "partial 16S ribosomal RNA". It matches the Rfam family "Bacterial small subunit ribosomal RNA", at positions 524 to 776 of the family's 1533-position model. The record is from RNAcentral.
UACGUAGGGGGCAAGCGUUGUCCGGAAUUAUUGGGCGUAAAGAGCGUGUAGGCGGUUCGAUCAGUCCGCUGUGAAAGUCCAGGGCUCAACCCUGGAAAGCCGGUGGAUACUGUCGGGCUAGAAUCCGGAAGAGGCGAGUGGAAUUCCUGGUGUAGCGGUGAAAUGCGCAGAUAUCAGGAGGAACACCGAUGGCGAAGGCAGCUCGCUGGGACGGUAUUGACGCUGAGGAGCGAAAGCGUGGGGAGCGAACAGG